GGAAAACCAUAUUCUCCUCAGUCCGCCACCUUGUGAUGUUUGAGCGUAUGGAGAAACAACUGAGAAAGUUGUUUUAAGACAGUCGGUGUGUUGGUGGUCUCCAUUGCUUUAUUGUUUAAAGAAUCCUCCACGCUGGUUCCCACUGGAGGCUGAAAUUGUAUAUCAGAGUCUGGAAAGUGUGGAAACAGGGGCUUGGGACCAGCUCCCACUUAGCAAGGUGUGUGGCGUAAUGUGUUCUCUCCCUCUCUGCUGGAGUCUUCCAUUAUGCACUGCAACAACUGACAUCACAUCACCGGGGGACAGAGACAGCAGAUGCAAUCAUGCUAAUUCCUGAUCUGGAGCACAGUCUGUUUCCUGAGGUUCCUGAAUGCACCCUGUC
Coregonus clupeaformis (lake whitefish) is the source of this 379-nucleotide long non-coding RNA. RefSeq lists it as uncharacterized. The transcript is spliced from 5 exons. Lineage: Eukaryota; Metazoa; Chordata; Actinopteri; Salmoniformes; Salmonidae. The record is from RefSeq and is a predicted model, not a curated record.